CUGUUUCGUAUCAGACCAUGUUCUUGUUUGUAAACCAACCAACCUACUCCCCCCAAAAAAACAGGAGCAGCUGAAAAAGAUGCUUACCUAAGCUGUUUCCUCCACAACCCUGCAAGAUCCGUCUGGCUCGCUUUUUGGCAUCUUCUGGAAAACUCGGGCUGUCCAACAGGUUUGGAUGUUCAGCAAGCUCUUUGUCACGGAGAGUUUCUUGGUUUAAACCCCACAACUACAGUAAUGGCACGUGGUAACUAAGCGUUAUUUUUCUUCUGCUGUUUGAUUUCAAUAAAGGCACUGGAUAGAAAACUACUCCUAAUAGCUUUAAAUGGUAAAGUGUUGUUAAUGAUAUUUAGGAUUCUUUGAGGACACUAAGUAAAUGGAACCCAGAGUACGAAAACUAUGGCUUUUUUUAGGCAAAAAGAGCAAACCUUUUCUGUAUUCUGUGUUGUAUAAGUCUGGAGGAUGGUUGUUCCCUAUGGAAUACUGCUGAUGGCAGCAGUUCAGAAUAUAACGAGCAUCUUCAGAGGAAUUACUGUCGCUACUGUUCUUGAAACUUUAAGAUUUGGUCCAAAGCUCAGUGCAGUCAGUGGAAAAAGUGCCCGUUCAGUGACUUCAUACCUUAAUGUUUACCAGCUCUCAUUCUCUCAUGAUAAGCAAAAAAAAAAAAAAAAGUACCCAACUCCCUACCCUAAAAACAAACUCAAAAUGAAAUGCGUAAAAUAGUCUAUUGAAUUGUCUUUUUAAGAAUUAAUUGCAAAGGUGCU
Calidris pugnax (ruff) is the source of this 761-nucleotide long non-coding RNA. RefSeq lists it as uncharacterized. The record is from RefSeq and is a predicted model, not a curated record. The transcript has 3 exons. NCBI's taxonomy places the organism in Eukaryota, Metazoa, Chordata, Aves, Charadriiformes, Scolopacidae.